AAGAGUCCUGGAGGCCCGGCGGGGAGCGGGGCGAUUUCGAAAGGAAGGACUGCAGCGCCCCUCGGGGCUUCUCGGGGAGCCCAGGAGGAAAGAGCUCAAUGCGGAAUCACAUAGGCAAAGGCUCUGAUUAUUUUCCUUGCAAUCGAAGACAAAAGCCGCCAUGUUUAUUAAAAUGAAAGUCGUAUUUUUACUCUUCCCUGGAAAGAAGUAUGUGCAACCAGACCAUCCCACCAAAGUCCUUCUAGGUAGGGGGAUAGGAGAGUAUUAGCU
RNAcentral lists this long non-coding RNA (270 nucleotides) under Homo sapiens (human). RNAcentral's name for it is "HSALNT0380538". Lineage: Eukaryota; Metazoa; Chordata; Mammalia; Primates; Hominidae. The record is from RNAcentral.